CUCUAAUCCCCUGAAGGUAGAUUAAAUCGUUCAUUCUUACAUUCCGUUGACACUGCAUUAUUAGCUUCUAUAUGUGAGCCUUGCAGCUUAGCUGAUUGGGAGUGAACACAAUU
This 113-nucleotide small nucleolar RNA is filed under the name Drosophila willistoni. RNAcentral's name for it is "snoRNA:GK26564". The record is from RNAcentral. Lineage: Eukaryota; Metazoa; Arthropoda; Insecta; Diptera; Drosophilidae.